Molecule: long non-coding RNA, 262 nt
Filed under: Mytilus galloprovincialis (Mediterranean mussel)
Lineage: Eukaryota; Metazoa; Mollusca; Bivalvia; Mytilida; Mytilidae
Source: RNAcentral
CCAGUAGUUUCAGGAGAAGAUUUUUGUAAAAGAUAACAAAAAUUUAUGAAAAAUUGGUAAAAAAUUACUGUUAAGGGCAAGCACUCCUUAAAGGGUCAACUGAUCAUUUUGAUCAUGUUGACUUAUUUGUAGAUCUUACUUUGCUGAACAUAAUUGCUGCUUACAGUUUAUCUCUAUCUAUAAUAAUUAUCUAGAUAAUAACCGAAAACGGACAAAAUUUCCUUAAAAUUACCAAUUCAGGGGCAGCAACCCAACAAUCCAU